Hemibagrus wyckioides is the source of this 703-nucleotide long non-coding RNA. RefSeq lists it as uncharacterized. Lineage: Eukaryota; Metazoa; Chordata; Actinopteri; Siluriformes; Bagridae. The record is from RefSeq and is a predicted model, not a curated record. The transcript is spliced from 3 exons.
GCCAGUAUGAAAUCGGAAGAAGACAAAAAAAAAAAAAAGUCAAAAGGUUGGAAACCGAGAAGGGGUGGAGAGAGAAGUGCUGAGCGCUGCCAUGGCAACAGGAGCGGUUGGCAUGGAGAGAGAGAAAGCCGGUGGGCCAGAAAACAGACAAACCAAACCAGGAAGAAAGAGGAAGAGGCAGCUGAGAGAGGAUAUUGCUGGUGGUUACCUCAUCACUGGAAUCAGCCAGCUUGGCAAGGAACUGAAAUCCUCAAGACUGGACUUUUAAUAUUGGUGGAUGAAUUAGUGAAGGCUGCAGGCAACUUGAAUGAAUUCCUCCUGAAGUGAUGAGGAGAAGGAAGAUCCUCAUCUGCUUUCUGCUUACAUUUACCAAACAAAAACUUUCUGUUCCUGACGUUUGUGAAUUCACAGCUCACCUAGCAGAAGUCUGCAGGGAAAAAAAGCAUCCCAUAUCCAGAACCGAAGGUAUCUUUCACGUGCCAUGUUCCCUUUCAGUGAACUAGCUUCAAUGUCUGGUGAAAUUUAGUGGCACUUGGUCCGAUAUCGGGUGAGAAAACAGAAAAUUGUCUACUGUGUCUCCAUAGCGACGGGUCUAAACACUACGUAACUGCUCUGUCGAAUAACGCCCGACUUCGAAUUCCAUUUAAAAUCAUUUACUUGAUUUAACUGAGGACACUGAGUUUUUAUCCUGUAGAUUUUUUUU